UACGUAGGUGGCAAGCGUUGUCCGGAAUUAUUGGGCGUAAAGCGCGCGCAGGCGGCCUUUUAAGUCUGAUGUGAAAGCCCCCGGCUCAACCGGGGAGGGUCAUUGGAAACUGGAAGGCUUGAGUGCAGAAGAGAAGAGCGGAAUUCCACGUGUAGCGGUGAAAUGCGUAGAGAUGUGGAGGAACACCAGUGGCGAAGGCGGCUCUUUGGUCUGUAACUGACGCUGAGGCGCGAAAGCGUGGGGAGCGAACAGG
RNAcentral lists this ribosomal RNA (253 nucleotides) under Domibacillus iocasae. RNAcentral describes it as "partial 16S ribosomal RNA". It matches the Rfam family "Bacterial small subunit ribosomal RNA", at positions 524 to 776 of the family's 1533-position model. Lineage: Bacteria; Bacillati; Bacillota; Bacilli; Caryophanales; Bacillaceae. RNAcentral also lists the same sequence under 2 other names. The record is from RNAcentral.